Molecule: ribosomal RNA, 644 nt
Filed under: Dicentroptilum sp. BMNH 704100
Lineage: Eukaryota; Metazoa; Arthropoda; Insecta; Ephemeroptera; Baetidae
Description: SSU rRNA
Rfam family: Eukaryotic small subunit ribosomal RNA
Source: RNAcentral
AGUAGUCAUAUGCUUGUCUCAAAGAUUAAGCCAUGCAUGUCUCAGUGCAAGCCACAUUAAGGUGAAACCGCGAAUGGCUCAUUAAAUCAGUUAUGGUUCCUUGGAUCCUACCAAUCCUACUUGGAUAACUGUGGUAAUUCUAGAGCUAAUACAUGCACCCAGAGCUCCGUCCAGAAAUGGCCGGGGCGCAGUUAUUAGAUCAAAACCAAUCGGUCGGGUUCGCCCGUCCGUCGUUUUGGUGACUCUGAAUAACCACCGCUGAUCGCACGGCCUCGCGCCGGCGACGUAUCCUUCGAAUGUCUGCCUUAUCAACUGUCGAUGGUAGGUUCUGCGCCUACCAUGGUUGUAACGGGUAACGGGGAAUCAGGGUUCGAUUCCGGAGAGGGAGCCUGAGAAACGGCUACCACAUCCAAGGAAGGCAGCAGGCGCGCAAAUUACCCACUCCCGGCACGGGGAGGUAGUGACGAAAAAUAACGAUACGGGACUCAUCCGAGGCCCCGUAAUCGGAAUGAGAACACUUUAAAUCUUUUAACGAGUACCUAAUGGAGGGCAAGUCUGGUGCCAGCAGCCGCGGUAAUUCCAGCUCCAUUGGCGUAUAUUAAAGUUGUUGCGGUUAAAAAGCUCGUAGUUGGAUCUGUGUAUCG